This is a non-coding RNA of Halobacillus mangrovi, 108 nucleotides long. NCBI's taxonomy places the organism in Bacteria, Bacillati, Bacillota, Bacilli, Caryophanales, Bacillaceae. The record is from Rfam.
CACUUAUCCAGAGUGGCGGAGGGACUGGCCCUUUGAUGCCCAGCAACCGGCUCCAUAUGAGCACGGUGCUAAUUCCUGCAAAGCGAUUAUCGCUUUGAUAGAUGAGAA